GACGAACGCUGGCGGCGUGCUUAACACAUGCAAGUCGAACGAAGUGGCGAACGGGUGAGUAACGCGUAAUCAACCUGCCCUUCAGAGGGGGACAACAGUUGGAAACGACUGCUAAUACCGCAUACAGAAGGAGGGGAUUGCGUCGGAUUAGCUAGGUGGAGGGGUAACGGCCCACCAAGGCGAUGAUCAGUAGCCGUUCUGAGAGGAUGAACGGCCGCCUUGGGACUGAGACACGACCCAGACUCCUACGGGAGGCAGCAGUAGGGAAUCUUCCGCAAUGGGCGGAAGUCUGACGGAGCAACGCCGCGUGAGUGAUGACGGCCUUCGGGUUGUAGAGCUCUGUUAAUCGGGACGCGGUACCGGGAUAGAAAGCCACGGCUAACUACGUGCCAGCAGCCGCGGUAAUUC
Molecule: ribosomal RNA, 408 nt
Filed under: uncultured bacterium
Lineage: Bacteria
Description: partial 16S ribosomal RNA
Rfam family: Bacterial small subunit ribosomal RNA
Source: RNAcentral